Molecule: long non-coding RNA, 490 nt
Filed under: Urocitellus parryii (Arctic ground squirrel)
Lineage: Eukaryota; Metazoa; Chordata; Mammalia; Rodentia; Sciuridae
Description: lncRNA (ENSUPAG00010016545.1)
Source: RNAcentral
CACACGAGUGCUGGUCCGGCGGCGUCGGCCUCCUAGUUCCCUCCGGCGUUACGUUGGGCGCACCGUAGUGGAUGAGCUGACCGGUUACUGGUGCUCCAAGUGCGUCGCUGUUGUGGGAAAAAAAUCAGAGUUAAGUAGUAACUGUGCACAGUCUUCUAAACCAAACUCAGAUCAGGAAGAUGAUGUUCACAGGAAUGAGGCUUGGAAAUCUGAUCAAGAUAACUCUGUGUGUGCCUAAUACAAUUCCAGACCAAGAAGGAGAAUUUAUUCAGGUAUUCUUCAUGUAAGGCACAAAGAUAACCUUUCUCUCUGCUGCACCUGAAUAUCCGGGGUCUCCUUCCCCACCUUCUGAACUAAGACCUGAAGCCACAGUAUCUGAGAAGCAGCUCACUUUGGAAUCUCUCCACUCCAGGGGACUCCAGUAUUGCAACAGCUUGGAGUUAACAAUCUCCAGCAGCAUUCCUUUGAUCUUUUCAUGCAGGUUUGAAUG